GUGGGUAGUCCGCACGAGCGCACCUUAUUUUAGUUGCUACCAUUUAGUUGGGCACUCUAAAAGAACUGCCAGUGAUAAGCUGGAGGAAGGUGGGGAUGACGUCAAGUCCUCAUGGCCCUUACGUGUUGGGCUACACACGUGCUACAAUGGUACUCACAGAGAGAAGCGAAGAGGCGACUCCAAGCUAAUCCCAAAAAAGUACCUCAGUUCGGAUUGCACUCUGCAACUCGAGUGCAUGAAGCUGGAAUUACUAGUAAUCGCGGAUCAGCGCGCCGCGGUGAAUACGUUCCCGGGUCUUGUACACACCGCCCGUCACACCAUGGAAGUUGGUUACACCUUAAGGCAAAGUAUAAAACCUUUGACUACGGUACGAUCAGCGACUGGGGUGAAGUCGUAACAAGGUAGCCGUAGGGGAACCUGCGGCUGGAUCACCUCCUUUCU
Molecule: ribosomal RNA, 441 nt
Filed under: uncultured Pelagibacterales bacterium
Lineage: Bacteria; Pseudomonadati; Pseudomonadota; Alphaproteobacteria; Candidatus Pelagibacterales
Description: bacterial SSU rRNA
Rfam family: Bacterial small subunit ribosomal RNA
Source: RNAcentral